UAAAGUUGCUAAAUUUCUCUGCACAAACCAUUAUCGGAUUAUGAAAACAAAUAUACAUGAGAAAUCACUACAACUCAUUUUGAUACACCAGUAAACUUAGUCUAACAACAAACUAAUAUCAACCCUCUAUUGAUCCACCCUCUCCCAAAUCAAAGCAUUUGAAGAUCAUCACUUGAUUGUUCAUAGCCAUUCUUAAAAUAAAUGAAGACAUUAGGAUUUGCUUACAGAUUUUGAUAUGCACAUAUAGGAAAGAGUUCUAUCAAAAAAAUGUAUUUGGUUCUUCGCAGAUACUUAAAAUGUGAAAAUGCAAUAAUGACUGGAGCACAUAAUAAUUGCUUAUAGAACUUGAAAAGAAAAAUCUAAAAGAACAUUACGUAGAACCAUCACAUUGUCACUCUUACUCCAAGAAAAGCAGAAGAGGUUCAGCACUUGAAGCCACAACUUAUGCCCAUGUUGGUCAAACUAACAAUUUUCUUUUCAAAGGCAUCCAACUGAAUGAAUGAACUCUGGUAUCCAAAGAUAAAAAAAACCAAGAUUUUUCUAAGAUGACCUAUAUCAUCUUCCAAGCAGUAGCUAUGAUAUAAUUUAGCCCCACGAAAAUGAGAACAAAAGCCAUGAUACUCCUUCAAACAACAGAGAUAAAACUAAAUCACCAACACUUAAAAGAUAGAGAAGACAGAAAUAUGCAUAACAAAUUUAAUAGAAAUGGUAAUUCAUUGAAGAAUUUAUUCAAACACCUAGAGAAGAGAAGACAUUGGUAGUAAUUUUAUACCUUCAAAAGCCACCACUAAUUAUUGGCACGUCUAAUUGCCAAAAUAAAAGCUAAGUAAACUGAUACUGAAAAAUAACUUGGAAAACUCUGCUAAAAGGGGAAAAUGGCAUAUCAAAAGAUACAAUCUAAGUCUAAGUAACUAAAGCUGAAACAUAUCUUGGGAAACUUAGCAAAAAGGAAAAGAUAAAAAAACGCAUAUAUAAAGACAUAAUCUUUAGAUGGAUUAAAUCAAGAAUUCAAGAAAUGAUCAAAAACAUUAACUAAACAUGGAUGAUUACUGUAAUUGAAUCUAUUAAUUUUAGAAAACAAGAAAAGAAUCAGAAUACUAUAAAUUAACAAUGGAUUAGCUGAUUUACAAAAAACUUUUGACUCUUACAUGAGAAUCACCGUAUAUUUUUUUUGAUUUGGUAACCUUGGCCAAGAUCAUAGUAAUACUCAAAAUACCAUCCAUAGAAGAAAAUCAUCCUAUAUAAUAAUUACCUUCAAAUAAGUAGAAAAUUCGAAAAAGAACUUCUCAAGCAGCAGUCGCUAUAACCCCUGAUUAGCAAACGUUGUGUUCUUCAGAGAAACCCAACAGGAAAACCAAACAAAAUAGCAAAAGAAGAUCGUUCAGCGGAGCAGACACGACAACUUAAGUUCGAAGUUCAUCGAGAAAAAGCUAAGGUAAUCCAAAAACUAAGUUCUGGAGAGGAGAGUAUACGUAGGUGUAUAAUUUUAUGUAAUAUACAGAAUUACUUUGCAGCUGUCAAAAGUAAUCUACGUGUUGCUUUGUAAAUAUAAUGAGUCAGUCCAAGAUGUAAAACCUGUCACUUUUAGAGCUAAAGUAGCAGUGAAAGGUCAAAAGUGAAUUUUGAAAAUACCUAAAGAGUUUGUUGUAUUUACAAAAUGGUGUGAUGGUAAUUGAUGUAAUAAUGUUAAAAAGCAGGGGCAAAAAUAUUAUGGCUGAAGCUGGCAUGUCGAUGAAGAGCAAGCUGCUUUUCCUCUUUGUGAUACAAAUAUCCAAAAAUCUUCAAAACAAGAAGACCUAAGAAGGUAGGUAGACCUUAAGAUGAUGUGAAUAGCAAGUAUUAG
Molecule: long non-coding RNA, 1843 nt
Filed under: Nicotiana tabacum (common tobacco)
Lineage: Eukaryota; Viridiplantae; Streptophyta; Magnoliopsida; Solanales; Solanaceae
Description: long non-coding RNA (NTAB_LNC014282)
Source: RNAcentral